RNAcentral lists this transfer RNA (71 nucleotides) under Acropyga sauteri. RNAcentral's name for it is "tRNA-Leu". The record is from RNAcentral. Lineage: Eukaryota; Metazoa; Arthropoda; Insecta; Hymenoptera; Formicidae.
UUUAAUAUGGCAGAAAAUAGUGCAAUAGAUUUAAAUUCUAUUUAUGAAGAAAAUAAAUACUUUUAUUAAAA